RNAcentral lists this ribosomal RNA (269 nucleotides) under uncultured prokaryote. RNAcentral describes it as "partial 16S ribosomal RNA". It matches the Rfam family "Bacterial small subunit ribosomal RNA", at positions 524 to 792 of the family's 1533-position model. The record is from RNAcentral.
UACGUAUGGGGCAAGCGUUGUUCGGAUUUACUGGGCGUAAAGGGCGUGUAGGCGGUGUGGUAAGUCGGAUGUGAAAUCUCUAGGCUCAACCUGGAAACUGCAUUCGAAACUGGCAUGCUUGAGUACCGGAGAGGGAAACGGAAUUCCUGGUGUAGGGGUGAAAUCUGUAGAUAUCAGGAAGAACACCGGUGGCGAAGGCGGUUUCCUGGCCGGAUACUGACGCUGAGGCGCGAAAGCUAGGGGAGCAAACAGGAUUAGAUACCCCCGUA